AUGUGCGUGGCAAACCCAAACGAUCCAAACGCCACCUGCGAGUUUCCUCGCCUCCCAGCAGGUGAAACCCGCACGGACGUCUCCACAGCUCUGCCUCCCCAUCCCCGAGGCCGAGAAGGCUCCCGCGACCCCCGCCUAAGUCCCACCGGUGCGGGCUCCGGAGCCCGAGGGCGCGGACAGCUGCUGCCACCGCAUCCCCGAUCCUGGGAGUCCGCCCGCUCCGGGGCGGCCAGGGGACCUGUGGGACACUGCGGGGCCGGUUGGGUGGGGAAAGUUGGGGGCCUGGCGCCGCGCCCCUCCUUACCUGGCGCUCGCCGGCCCCUGCUGGGACAUCCGUCGGGUGCGCGCCCCUCCGCGCGCUCGCUGCGCACCUGGCCGUUGUCGCCGCCACCGCCCGGCCCCAGCCCUGGCCGCCGCGCUAGCGCUUCAUGGCGCACGGGGCUGGCCCGGGGCCCCGGGAAGCGUGUCCAGUUGGCGGCGGCUCCUCCGGCUGUCGCCUCUCGCCAAUGGCUCCCCGCCUUCCCCCGCCCCGCGUCCGAGCGCCAGUCCUCGGCGGCCGCCCUUUUCCCUCCGCUCCCCGGGACCGGCCAAACUGGUUUCUCCGCUCCGGGGUGGUGCCUCCAGUCUCUCACUGGCAGCCGCGGCUGGGGCUGGGGGCGGGCCCGGCCGUCUGCCCUCCCUUUGUCCCUCCCGGGGGCGGAGAGGGGCUGGACGGCGAGCCCCAGGGCGGGCACACGCGGCCCAGGUCCAGCCCCGCGCCCUCCGUGCGCCCUGGCGGCAGGUGGGCACCCAGGCGGUGCCCCGAACUCGUCCCCUGCCUCGCCCGACCUGCCACUUGGCAGCUGCGAUCGCUGUCGGCUCCUUUGGCGCUCCCGCCUCCCGGGGGGCCGCGCUAGCCACCCCGCCCCACCAGCUUCGCGUCACUUUCCCGCCGCCCUCGGCUGGCCUGGCCGCCGCCCGGGGUCGGUGACCUCCCCAGCCCGGAAAGCUGGCCGGGCCGCGGCUCGCCUGGGACCUGCCCCCCCCCCCCUCGGUAAGGGGAGCUGUACCCUCUCGACGCCGCCAAGUCACGUUCCAGGACUGGUCACCGAACGCGCGUCGCGGUUCGCUGCGCAGAGGGUGGGGAAGGGGCCGGCGCCAAAAGACUUGGAGAAACUUACCUGUAUUUGCAGCAAGCAGGCUUUGUGCGGAGACCUGGCUCCUCUGCCUUUAGGGGUUUGGGGUCAAAAGCAGCCAAGGCGCAGCAGGUGA
Molecule: long non-coding RNA, 1251 nt
Filed under: Felis catus (domestic cat)
Lineage: Eukaryota; Metazoa; Chordata; Mammalia; Carnivora; Felidae
Description: lncRNA (ENSFCAG00000051214.1)
Source: RNAcentral